RNAcentral lists this long non-coding RNA (222 nucleotides) under Capra hircus (goat). RNAcentral's name for it is "lncRNA (ENSCHIG00010001868.1)". The record is from RNAcentral. Lineage: Eukaryota; Metazoa; Chordata; Mammalia; Artiodactyla; Bovidae.
AGGAGUUGGUGAUGGACAGGGAAGCCUGGCGUGCUGCGUUCAUGGGGUCGCAAAGUGUCGGACACAACUGAGUGACUGAAUUGAACUGAAGAAUAAAAGCAUGAUAGAAAAAUACAGACUGUACACUUGACUUUAAGAAAAAUGGCAGUCAGGCAAGAGGGACCGAGUGAGGGCAGAAGAUAUUCAGAUGGCCUGUAAGACCCCAUGAGACCACAUCCCCCA